GGUUCCAUAGUGUAGCGGUUAGUGCGUCUGCUUUACACGCAGAAGGUCCUGGGUUCAUGCCCCAGUGGAGCCA
Pteropus alecto (black flying fox) is the source of this 73-nucleotide non-coding RNA. The record is from Rfam. Lineage: Eukaryota; Metazoa; Chordata; Mammalia; Chiroptera; Pteropodidae.